AGACAUGCAAGUCGAACGAAAAAACUGAUUAGUUUACUAAGAUGUUUUUUAGUGGCGGACGGGUUAGUAACACGUGAGUAACAUGCCUUGAAGUGGGGGAUAGCCUUUCGAAAGGAAGAUUAAUACCGCAUGUGGCUCCCCUUUAGUGGGGUAGUCAAAGAUGCCUUCGGGUGUCGCUUUAAGAUUGGCUCGCGGCCUAUCAGCUUGUUGGUGAGGUAACGGCUCACCAAGGCUACGACGGGUAGCUGUUCUGAGAGGAAGAUCAGCAACACUGGAACUGAGACACGGUCCAGACACCUACGGGUGGCAGCAGUCGAGAAUCAUUCACAAUGGACGAAAGUCUGAUGGUGCAACGCCGCGUGGAGGAUGAAGGCCCUAGGGUCGUAAACUCCUGUCAUAUAAGAGUAAGGCAUGAUCGUUAAUAGCUUUCAUGUUUGAUAGUAUUAUAAGAGGAAGGGACGGCUAACUUCGUGCCAGCAGCCGCGGUAAUACGAAGGUCCCGAGCGUUAUUCGGAAUCACUGGGCGUAAAGAGUACGUAGGCGGUUUGGUAAGUCAGGUGUGAAAUCCCGAAGCUCAACUUCGGAACUGCAUCCGAUACUGCCAGACUUGAGUAAUGGAGAGGCAGGUGGAAUUCUCGGUGUAGCAGUGAAAUGCGUGGAUAUCGAGAGGAAGACCAAUGGCGAAGGCAGCCUGCUGGACAUUUACUGACGCUGAGGUACGAAGGCUAGGGUAGCGAAAGGGAUUAGAUACCCCUGUAGUCCUAGCAGUAAACGGUGCGCGCUUGGUGUAGGAGGACUCGACCCCUUCUGUGCCGGAGCUACGCGUUAAGCGCGCCGCCUGGGGAGUACGGUCGCAAGAC
Molecule: ribosomal RNA, 860 nt
Filed under: uncultured bacterium
Lineage: Bacteria
Description: bacterial SSU rRNA
Rfam family: Bacterial small subunit ribosomal RNA
Source: RNAcentral